AUCCAGACUCCUACGGGAGGCAGCAGUGAGGAAUAUUGGUCAAUGGGCGCGAGCCUGAACCAGCCAAGUCGCGUGAGGGAUGACGGUCCUAUGGAUUGUAAACCUCUUUUGUCAGGGAGCAAAGGGCGCCACGUGUGGCGUUUUGCGAGUACCUGAAGAAAAAGCAUCGGCUAACUCCGUGCCAGCAGCCGCGGUAAUACGGAGGAUGCGAGCGUUAUCCGGAUUUAUUGGGUUUAAAGGGUGCGCAGGCGGCACGGCAAGCAGGCGGGCAAAUCGCGGGGCUCAACCCCGCCCAGCCGUCGGAACUGCCGGGCUAGAGUGGGCGAGAAGUGCGCGGAAUGCGUGGUGUAGCGGUAAAAUGCAUAGAUAUCACGCAGAACUCCGAUUGCGAAGGCAGCAUACCGGCGCCCGACUGACGCUGAGGCACGAAAGCGUGGGUAUCGAACAGGAUUAGAUACCCUCGUA
Molecule: ribosomal RNA, 465 nt
Filed under: uncultured bacterium
Lineage: Bacteria
Description: bacterial SSU rRNA
Rfam family: Bacterial small subunit ribosomal RNA
Source: RNAcentral